This is a non-coding RNA of Paramuricea clavata, 850 nucleotides long. The record is from the annotation of a GenBank genome assembly. NCBI's taxonomy places the organism in Eukaryota, Metazoa, Cnidaria, Anthozoa, Malacalcyonacea, Plexauridae.
CAAUGAUGAAGAAAAUACAAAUGACGAAAUGUUUAAUAAUUAACGUGCAUGCAAAUAUGAUUAAUGAUUUGAUACCUGGAUACGUACAUACUAUCAUGGUAUCAUACUUUAUUAAUUAAUAUUUAUUCACUAACUGUAAAUGACGUAAUUACAUCAAUUAUACAUAAAAAAGAUCCUCAUGAUCAAUUAUCGGAUCACCUAAAACUAGUAGUAAAAAACAUAUGUUGAAAACACAUUGUGUUUUUGUGCAAAAUUAAACGUACUGUGUGACAGUUUUUACAUAUAAUAAAGUUACGUUUACAUAUUUGAUCGGGCUGAUUAUUUUGUUUACAUAUUAGAAAAAAAAUAGCAGCGUCGAAGCCAGCUAUAACAACAGGUCAUGUUAUGCAAUUUUGUAAUGAUUUGCAUUGUUCAAACCCUUAGAAAUGUAAGGAGCGAAAAGUCGCUCUUCACAUUAGGCUGCCUAGAUUAUCUGAUUUGGGAAGACAUUGGCCUCGAAAUGGCGGAUAUCGACCUCUCGUGAGAAAUGCUAAUUAAAUCAAUCAGUUAAAUGCCCGAAACGUAUUAAAUUAAGACACUCUGACGUUUCAAGAGAGUUCGGUAGGCCUACUCCCCAAUAAGUCGGAACUUAUUGGAAUUUAAAAACCAAAACCAGCCUAUAAUUGAUCUCUAUGUUUAAACGCAACUUAAAUGUAAUAUACAUGUUGUGCAGAAUUCUAGUGCAUUUGCAGUUUGCGUUUAUGCUUGAUAUUAUAGUAAAUAUCUAGGUGUUAUGUGCGUCAGCUAUAUUUUACAGCAUAUUUUACAAUAAAAAAUACAGAACGUAUAUAAUAAAGGUCAGAAAAUAUCC